RNAcentral lists this ribosomal RNA (462 nucleotides) under uncultured bacterium. RNAcentral describes it as "partial 16S ribosomal RNA". It matches the Rfam family "Bacterial small subunit ribosomal RNA", at positions 29 to 507 of the family's 1533-position model. The record is from RNAcentral.
ACGCACGCUGGCGGCGUGCUUCACCCCUGCCAGUCGCACGGAAAGGCCUUUUCGGAGGUACUCGAGUGGCGAACGGGUGAGUAACACGUGGGUGAUCUGCCCUGCACUCUGGGAUAAGCCUGGGAAACUGGGUCUAAUACCGGAUAGGACCGCACUUUAGUGUGUGUGGUGGAAAGUUUUUUCGGUGUAGGAUGAGCCCGCGGCCUAUCAGCUUGUUGGUGGGGUAAUGGCCUACCAAGGCGGCGACGGGUAGCCGGACUGAGAGGUUGGUCGGCCACAUUGGGACUGAGAUACGGCCCAGACUCCUACGGGAGGCAGCAGUGGGGAAUAUUGCACAAUGGGCGCAAGCCUGAUGCAGCGACGCCGCGUGGGGGAUGACGGCCUUCGGGUUGUAAACUCCUUUCGCCAGGGACGAAGCGUUUUGUGACGGUACCUGGAGAAGAAGCACCGGCUAACUACGUG